This is a long non-coding RNA of Cucumis melo (muskmelon), 626 nucleotides long. RefSeq lists it as uncharacterized. NCBI's taxonomy places the organism in Eukaryota, Viridiplantae, Streptophyta, Magnoliopsida, Cucurbitales, Cucurbitaceae. The transcript has 2 exons. The record is from RefSeq and is a predicted model, not a curated record.
GUGUGUUAGUAACCAAAUAAAAUGUAUAUAAUUAAUUAAAAUGCAAAAUCAUUGGAGUCAAAAAUGCAUUUUGUCUAUCACGGUCGACUAUCCUUUUAAGCUAUAUAAUUGACGAUAUUUGAAUUUUCCAUUCCCGGAACCAAGGGAAAAGAAAUGUGUUCUAAUGAAUUCUAACCAACUCCCACAUGAGGCGACUGAACUGAAAUUUUUUUAGAACCGAUCUAUCAAAUUGCUCUUGGAUCUGCAUUGAUUAGAGAUUUUUCUGAAGACGGAAUGGAAGCCGGAGAAGCAAGAAGGCAUCGGGACCUAUUCUUCUGCACGACCAUUGUUUUUUAUGAAUGUUUUUCCCGCUGAGGCUAAAACAGCUUGCUCGUUGGACACAUUUGAACUUUUGUUUCUCUUAGAAUUAACCUUAGUACAUGGAAAUGCACAUAGAAAGGUAUGAUCAGCACUAACCAUACUGUUCAACUAUUGCCAAUAAAUUGAGAGGAACUAUUAUUCUGCUAUUUCGAGUAUCAUUUAUAGGAAACUAAGGAUCAUGGAGAAAUGAAAGUGUGAUAAGCACGAACAAUUGCCCUUCCCAUUUGUUAAUGGUCCAUUUACUACCAGAUAUACAUCUUGUAUUA